This 235-nucleotide long non-coding RNA is filed under the name Medicago truncatula (barrel medic). RNAcentral's name for it is "long non-coding RNA (MTRU_LNC000759)". Lineage: Eukaryota; Viridiplantae; Streptophyta; Magnoliopsida; Fabales; Fabaceae. The record is from RNAcentral.
GGUCCCUUAAAUAAAUUCCAAAUGAAGCUGAAAUAUAACCUACUCUUGGUUUUGCAGUGCAGCUGCCGCCUCUUCCAUUACAGCUUCUCCUCAUCUUUUAUUCUUUCUAAACCACAGGCUAUGUUCAUCUAAACAAGUAGAUCUCAAUUGAAAGUCACAUGUUAGAUCUAAAAUUUUCUUCAUUGCUUUACAUCUUAACCGAGUUAGAUUAGUUUCAAUCCUUCUCACUUCUUCU